AGAGGUUUGAUCAUGGCUCAGAAUGAACGUUGGCGGCGUGGAUUAGGCAUGCAAGUCGUACGCAUAGCUUCGGCUAUGAGUGGCGCAAGGGUGAGUAAUGCGAAGGUAACCAACCCUGGUGUUGGGCAUAGCCGCGGGAAACUGCGGGUAAUUCCCAGCGACGUCACGAGAUGGCAUCAUCUUGUGACCAAAGGUGUGAUUCCGCUCUAGGACGGGCCUUCGUGGUAUUAGGUAGUUGGUGAGGUAACGGCUCACCAAGCCGACGAUGCCUACCGGGUGUGAGAGCAUGACCCGGCACACUGGAACUGAGACACUGUCCAGACACCUACGGGUGGCUGCAGUCGAGAAUCUUCGGCAAUGGGCGAAAGCCUGACCGAGCGACGCCGCGUGAGGGAUUGAAGGCCUUCGGGUUGUAAACCUCUUUCGUAGAGGAGGAAGGGGCCGUGAAGAACGGUCUUUGACCUAUUCUAGGAAGAAGCUUGGGCUAAGUUCGUG
This 495-nucleotide ribosomal RNA is filed under the name uncultured bacterium. RNAcentral describes it as "bacterial SSU rRNA". It matches the Rfam family "Bacterial small subunit ribosomal RNA", at positions 1 to 507 of the family's 1533-position model. The record is from RNAcentral.